Molecule: ribosomal RNA, 500 nt
Filed under: uncultured bacterium
Lineage: Bacteria
Description: partial 16S ribosomal RNA
Rfam family: Bacterial small subunit ribosomal RNA
Source: RNAcentral
AUUGAACGCUGGCGGCAGGCCUAACACAUGCAAGUCGAGCGGUAGAGAGAAGCUUGCUUCUCUUGAGAGCGGCGGACGGGUGAGUAAUGCCUAGGAAUCUGCCUGGUAGUGGGGGAUAACGUUCGGAAACGGACGCUAAUACCGCAUACGUCCUACGGGAGAAAGCUGGGGACCUUCGGGCCUUGCGCUAUCAGAUGAGCCUAGGUCGGAUUAGCUAGUUGGUGAGGUAACGGCUCACCAAGGCGACGAUCCGUAACUGGUCUGAGAGGAUGAUCAGUCACACUGGAACUGGGACACGGUCCAGACUCCUACGGGAGGCAGCAGUGGGGAAUAUUGGACAAUGGGCGAAAGCCUGAUCCAGCCAUGCCGCGUGUGUGAAGAAGGUCUUCGGAUUGUAAAGCACUUUAAGUUGGGAGGAAGGGUUGUAGAUUAAUACUCUGCAAUUUUGACGUUACCGACAGAAUAAGCACCGGCUAACUCUGUGCCAGCCGCCGCCGUAA